UCUGCGUAAAAGUAGUGCAAAGUAAUUAAAUCAGUGCAUAUCGGUGUUUUAUCGUUGAAAUCAGCUGAAAAAUUCAACGAAAGGACAAGGUAAGUAAAAUACAAUACAAACAUAACGAAGAUCUUCUUUUACAGGGUAAUUUUGACUCAAAUUUGGGUGUGCCAAGCUCGGCUAAACUUUGCGUGGAAGAUCGCUGCUAGGUCGCACUUUUUCUUUAAAAAGAGGCCUGCAGGAGUCCACUAUUUAUCCCGGGAUUCACCAUGUAAGCCAUCUUGACGCGCAAGAUGCUACAGGCCUGAAUGCACCGAGAGAUCCCCUCACCGCAACACCACCAGUCGCGCUCGGACCGAGGGAAAGGAUAUUUAACCCCUUGGUCGUCCACGAACUGGCCCGUUGGGCUAUGGAUUCUCGAUUGUAGUGAUAUUUUCACUGUUCGGUCUUGCUGCUGUUGACGACAGGUCAAUCCAGAUCCGCUGACUUGGUCCAGGGAAAGUGGGACGUCGCCCGUAAACCCCUAGCACCCAAGUCGGUGCGGAUCGUGGCCACUGACAUCUCCAGCCGCAACGUACUAGGUGUAAAAUAUUAGAUAUAAGAGAAGCGAAAAAGAAAAUAGUUUAAAUAAAGCUUUUGUUCGGGGCUUUCCCCAAUUCUUUGCUUGUUCUAACUCCACGAAGGAAACAAGACUUUUCACAGGUUGCGAACGCCUACCAGGUAUGACUACGUCACCUUGCUGGGUCCUCGGCAAUUCUACAGAUUCCAACUCCUUUCGGCCACCUCCCGGGCAGAACUCCUCCUGCUAUCCGGUUCAUUGGUGCCUAGAAUAACGAUUAGGACGGCUUCACAGGACUUACUCAUUGCCUAAUUUAUCGGCCCAGUCCAACAGGUACAAAAUAAUUUCAUUUCAGGUGUGAUUACCUCUCCAGGGAUGACGUCACACGUCAUCUGCCUGGGUUUACGGUAAUUUGUGGGUUCUAAAUCGGUUCAAUUCCUCUAAUACAUUCUAAUCUGCCGCCGGAUCUCAUCACCAGGACGGUACAGACUCUUGACCAGCAAAUGGUCGUAAAUUAUGGUUUCCUCACAACACUACUGCUGGAGAGGACUCGACUGACGAUCGCUUGGAUCGGGCACCAAUCAGUCGCACUUCUUUCCUACUGUUCUGUUUUGAUUCUGUUCUAUAGUUGUGUGUGUUGGAGGAAAAGUGUGGUUGUCGUUUGAUAAUUUGAUUGCUCGUCAAGUUCAACAAUGGACCCGAAAGAGACGAGACAAAAUAAAUAACAUUGAAUGCUGUUGCAUGAUUGUCGUGUAGUAGACACAAAAGGACGUUAUAAACAUUAUGUACACGCAGCAUAAAAGUUAUAAAACUCGCUGCUGACCAAAAUCGACGAACUGAGUCGUGCCAAAAACGAUUUUGGAAAGCGCGCAAGAUCCUCAUUCCAAUAGGACCGUAAUGGACCGCGGUUCUGUGCUU
This is a long non-coding RNA of Culex quinquefasciatus (southern house mosquito), 1468 nucleotides long. RefSeq lists it as uncharacterized. NCBI's taxonomy places the organism in Eukaryota, Metazoa, Arthropoda, Insecta, Diptera, Culicidae. The record is from RefSeq and is a predicted model, not a curated record. The transcript is spliced from 3 exons.